AACCAUGCAGUGAGCACAAAGCGAACUAUUCUUUCGCCUUUUACUAAAGAAUACCGUGUGCUCGCUGCCCAAAGUGGCAUAUGCCUAUUUUUUGAGAGUCUCUUUUUUAUAGAAGGGCU
This 119-nucleotide small nuclear RNA is filed under the name Helianthus annuus (common sunflower). RNAcentral describes it as "sRNA HanXRQr2_Chr05g0228301". It matches the Rfam family "U5 spliceosomal RNA". Rfam says of the family: U5 RNA is a component of both types of known spliceosome. The precise function of this molecule is unknown, though it is known that the 5' loop is required for splice site selection and p220 binding, and that both the 3' stem-loop and the Sm site are important for Sm protein binding and cap methylation. The record is from Rfam by way of RNAcentral. Lineage: Eukaryota; Viridiplantae; Streptophyta; Magnoliopsida; Asterales; Asteraceae.